This 492-nucleotide ribosomal RNA is filed under the name Escherichia coli. RNAcentral's name for it is "partial 23S ribosomal RNA". It matches the Rfam family "Bacterial large subunit ribosomal RNA", at positions 1 to 533 of the family's 2925-position model. Lineage: Bacteria; Pseudomonadati; Pseudomonadota; Gammaproteobacteria; Enterobacterales; Enterobacteriaceae. The record is from RNAcentral.
GUUAAGCGACUAAGCGUACACGGUGGAUGCCCUGGCAGUCAGAGGCGAUGAAGGACGUGCUAAUCUGCGAUAAGCGUCGGUAAGGUGAUAUGAACCGUUAUAACCGGCGAUUUCCGAAUGGGGAAACCCAGUGUGUUUCGACACACUAUCAUUAACUGAAUCCAUAGGUUAAUGAGGCGAACCGGGGGAACUGAAACAUCUAAGUACCCCGAGGAAAAGAAAUCAACCGAGAUUCCCCCAGUAGCGGCGAGCGAACGGGGAGCAGCCCAGAGCCUGAAUCAGUGUGUGUGUUAGUGGAAGCGUCUGGAAAGGCGCGCGAUACAGGGUGACAGCCCCGUACACAAAAAUGCACAUGCUGUGAGCUCGAUGAGUAGGGCGGGACACGUGGUAUCCUGUCUGAAUAUGGGGGGACCAUCCUCCAAGGCUAAAUACUCCUGACUGACCGAUAGUGAACCAGUACCGUGAGGGAAAGGCGAAAAGAACCCCGGCGAG